RNAcentral lists this transfer RNA (71 nucleotides) under Marmota monax (woodchuck). RNAcentral's name for it is "tRNA.Ala". It matches the Rfam family "tRNA". Rfam says of the family: Transfer RNA (tRNA) molecules are approximately 80 nucleotides in length. The record is from RNAcentral. Lineage: Eukaryota; Metazoa; Chordata; Mammalia; Rodentia; Sciuridae.
GGGGCUGUAGCUCAGUGGUAGAGUGCUUGUCUAGCAUGCAUGAGGCACUAGGUUCGAUCCUUAGCACCACA